Molecule: long non-coding RNA, 467 nt
Organism: Lutra lutra (Eurasian river otter)
Lineage: Eukaryota; Metazoa; Chordata; Mammalia; Carnivora; Mustelidae
Exons: 3
Source: RefSeq, a predicted model, not a curated record
AGGGCAAAUCCCAAAAUAGAGCUGGUGUCUGAGGUGGUCCCAGGAAGCAGAUCUCCAGAAUAGGAUUCUGGAAUUGGACCACUCACCUUCCAGAUGGCAAUAAGGAUUCCAUUGCUGAGGUUGGACCACUGGGAACUGCGUGAAGCAUGAAUUGCCUUUUGGCAAUGACAUUGAAACUAGGAAACGCUGACUAGUGCGUUUACUAUGUGCCAGGCACUGUCUGACGUGCAUUAUAUGCUGUAUUUCAUGGAUCCUCACAACCCCAGGAAGAAGGUUCUAGACAUCACCUGCUUCCAUUCUGGCAUCUGAGCAGACUAAAGCCCAGAGAAGUGAAGUAAAUUGCCCAAGGUCACACAGCUGGAAAAUGCUAGAGCUGGAAUAUGAGCUAAGUCACCUGGGCCAUCAUGACUCUACACAGUGAGGCACCAUAAUGAAAACAAGGCUGAUGUGGGGGGACACUUUACACA